AUCCGGGUUGCGGACAGUGUCUGGUGGGUAGUUUGACUGGGGCGGUCUCCUCCUAAAGAGUAACGGAGGAGCACGAAGGUUGGCUAAUCCUGGUCGGACAUCAGGAGGUUAGUGCAAUGGCAUAAGCCAGCUUGACUGCGAGCGUGACGGCGCGAGCAGGUGCGAAAGCAGGUCAUAGUGAUCCGGUGGUUCUGAAUGGAAGGGCCAUCGCUCAACGGAUAAAAGGUACUCCGGGGAUAACAGGCUGAUACCGCCCAAGAGUUCAUAUCGACGGCGGUGUUUGGCACCUCGAUGUCGGCUCAUCACAUCCUGGGGCUGAAGUAGGUCCCAAGGGUAUGGCUGUUCGCCAUUUAAAGUGGUACGCGAGCUGGGUUUAGAACGUCGUGAGACAGUUCGGUCCCUAUCUGCCGUGGGCGCUG
RNAcentral lists this ribosomal RNA (419 nucleotides) under Salmonella enterica subsp. enterica serovar Typhimurium. RNAcentral describes it as "partial 23S ribosomal RNA". It matches the Rfam family "Bacterial large subunit ribosomal RNA", at positions 2238 to 2656 of the family's 2925-position model. Lineage: Bacteria; Pseudomonadati; Pseudomonadota; Gammaproteobacteria; Enterobacterales; Enterobacteriaceae. The record is from RNAcentral.